GACGAACGCUGGCGGCGUGCCUAAUACAUGCAAGUCGAGCGAUGAAGCUUGGUGCUUGCACCAAUUUGAAGAGCAGCGAACGGGUGAGUAACGCGUGGGGAAUCUGCCUUUGAGCGGGGGACAACAUUUGGAAACGAAUGCUAAUACCGCAUAACAACUUUAAACAUAAGUUUUAAGUUUGAAAGAUGCAAUUGCAUCACUCAAAGAUGAUCCCGCGUUGUAUUAGCUAGUUGGUGAGGUAAAGGCUCACCAAGGCGAUGAUACAUAGCCGACCUGAGAGGGUGAUCGGCCACAUUGGGACUGGGACACGGCCCAAACUCCUACGGGGGGCAGCAGUAGGGAAUCUUCGGCAAUGGACGAAAGUCUGACCGAGCAACGCCGCGUGAGUGAAGAAGGUUUUCGGAUCGUAAAGAUCUGUUGGUAGAGAAGAACGUUGGUGAGAGUGGAAAGCUCAUCAAGUGACGGUAACUACCCAGAAAGGGACGGCUAACUACGUG
This 497-nucleotide ribosomal RNA is filed under the name uncultured bacterium. RNAcentral describes it as "partial 16S ribosomal RNA". It matches the Rfam family "Bacterial small subunit ribosomal RNA", at positions 28 to 507 of the family's 1533-position model. The record is from RNAcentral.